This 4987-nucleotide long non-coding RNA is filed under the name Sus scrofa (pig). Its description in RNAcentral is "lncRNA (ENSSSCG00000052849.1)". The record is from RNAcentral. Lineage: Eukaryota; Metazoa; Chordata; Mammalia; Artiodactyla; Suidae.
UUAAGGAUCUGGUGUUUCUGUGGGCUGUGGUGUAGGUCACAGACUCAGCUCAGAUCUGGCGUUGCUGUGGCUGUGGCGUAGGCCGGCAGCUGCGGCUCUGAUUAGACCCCUAGCCUGGGAACAUCCAUAUACCACAGGUGCAGCCAUUUAAAAAAAGCAAAAAAUAAAAAUAAAUGUAUUGUUUGGCCCUGCCUUGGAGAUUGAUUGGGUGGGUCUGGAGCUAGGAUUUGUACUUUUAACAUAUAUUUCAGGAGACUCCUAUGAUCACAUGUAUUUGGAGACUCUUGCACUGGAUCAUACCCCAUUGUAUGCCCCAAAUACUUGGUCCUGAGGCUUCCUUGGGUGUAGAAAUUUUUUUCUUCAAAUGUCUUGUGAAGUCACUCUUAUUCCCUUGGGGCUGGCAAUGGUGAAGCCCCCUGCAGUGUGGCUGUGACAGUGGGGACUGUCUCACCAGGGUCCAGGAGUAAGAAGACUGCGAGGCAGAAAAGAAUGCAAGGAGCACUCCUCAGGAGGCUUCCAGAUGUUUCCGGUCCUAGAAUAGAGAUCUGUUGUGACAAUCUCAGAUCUGACAACAAGAAUUACAGGUAAUUGUCUCAUUCCCUUGAUGUCAUUCUGAGCAAAACUUAUUUCAAGAAUAGAAAGAAAAGAGCCCAUUGGGGAAAUGGCAAAAAUAAAUUGUUUUUUUUUUUUUUUGAAGCAUUCAAAUUAUCAGCCUGGGAAGUCAACAAUUACUUCCAUCUCAAGACCCAAAGUGGGAUGGGCAGGAAUAGUAAAAUCUAUGUUACAGGUCCUUCCAACAUCCGAUGUAAAUGCUGCCAGAAUCUUACAGUAACUUGAAAUUGAUUUAUAAGAUUUAGAGAUUCAAAUCUGCUAAAAUAGGGGCCGAGGUACUUAAAGAGAAAAGUGCCUAGUGUUUUCCUGCCAGAAUCCUUCCUCCUCCUCACCUGGGAAGCUGAUCAAUGAAGCUCAAAGUUAAGGAGCUUUUAACACCAGAGUGGAGGAAGGAUAGUGUUGAGCUGCUUUAAGUAGAAGAACCCUGAGCUUUAUCACUGCCUGAGGGUGAUAAGAACAACGUGUGUCAUUUUAUGGCAUCUUACUAUUUACAGACUACUUAAACAUGCAUUAUCUCAUCUGAUCCUCACAAUAAGCCCUUUGGUAAGAGGGUGGAUAUGAUGGUCCCAUCAAGCAGAAUAUAAAACCGAGCCUGAAAAAAAGCCUGAUUUGCCUGCAGACAAAUGAUUAUUUAUUUAUUAUUUAUUUAUUUAUUGUCUCUUUAGAACCAAACCUACGGCAUGUGGAGGUUCCCAGGAUAGGGGUCGAAUUGGAACUGUAGCCGCUGGCCUAUGCCACAGCCACGGCCAUGCCAGAUCUGAGCCACACUUGCAAACUACACCACAGCUCACAGCAUGCCAGAUGCUUAACCUGAGCGAGGCCAGGAUACUAGUCAGGUAUCCUGCGUCUUCAUGGAUACAAGUCAGGUUCAUUUCCACUGAGCCAUGGUGGGAACGCCCAAAUGAUUAUUUAAAUUAUAGAGCCAGGCCCUAUAAUGACUGUCUGUUUAGGGUUCUUUGCAAUUUCUACAAUACCUGUGGGACUAGAAUCAGCCAAACAUUUGGGGAGAAGAGUCCUUGACGAGAUGAUGACUCAAGGCAUCACUAGGGUGUAGCUAUGGAGACAGACACUGGUCACUUCCUCUUCCUAAGCACUGGUCCUUACACGCGGCUCUGAGAGGGGGUCAGCUCUGCUCAAGGGGAGUUUCAUUUUCAUUAGCUGUGCUGUGCGGGGCUUUGAUAAAAAUGUGCUUCAGGUUUUAGAAUCCAGAGUUCCUGUUGUGGCUUGUCGGUGACGAGCCCUACUAGUAUCCAUGAAGAUGCAGGUUCUAUCUGGCCCCACUCAGUGGGUUAAGGAUCCGGCACCACCAUGAGCUGCACUGUAGGUCGAAGAUGCAGCUUGGAUCUGGCGUUGCUGUGGCUGGCAGCUGCAGCUCUGAUUCGACCCCUAGCCUGGAAACUUCCAUAUGCCACGGGUGUGGCCUUAAAAAGAAAAAAGAAAGAUUUUAAAAUCUUUCCUGAAGAGGAAUUUCUGAGCCAAAUUAGACUUGCAUGUAGACUUGGAAUUCCAGGGCUUGGAGGUGACCUGCCUGGAGCGAACCAUCUGGCAUCUUCCCUGCAUAAGGGGAUUUUAGGUAGAACUCAGAGGAUGGUUCUCAGGGGGGGCAUAUAUAGAGGGAGCCAAAAUAGCAGUUUAGUUAAAAGUUUUGUUGAGAUCUCUCAGUGGGGCUGGACACAGGUCAAUGUGGUCUGGCCCACUUCUUCGGGGGGUGGGGGGAGGCUGUGCUGAAUGAGACACAAAUAGCUUGCCUCUCAUCUUGGCUUUGAGAAAAGCUACUCCAUUAUCAAAGGUAUUAGACACUAUCCAAUGAGAAUUUUCCUUGUGGGACUAAACGAAAAGGGAAUAGGAGGAGCCACAGGACAAAGAAGGGUCAGAAAGCAGCUUCAUGAGAGUCCCCUGACCAGUGGUUUUUGUGCCUUGUCUGUGGCAUCAAAACUGAAAUGUUUUUGUAUUACUGUUGCCCAUGAUUUUCUUCAGUGUCUAACAUACAAGGUGGAUUCGGUUGUAACGUUUGAGCUAAAUAAAACAUUUUCACCUACAUUUGUUAUCAAGAACUCAUGAUUUUACACAACUAUGUUUAAUCAUGAUCUGACAUUAAACGACCUCAGUAGAAAAAGAAACCAUACAAUACAUGACCUCCUCAGAUUGUUUUCAGUACUGUGAUGAGGAAUAAACUCCUCAUGGGACUAGAGGCAAUCCUGGCAGAGCAUAAUUUCUGUUUUUAUAGAUUUUAAUAAGCUAUGGCCUGGGUACAUUCUGUGGCCGCUCUGAUUACUCUCCACAGACUAACACUCAGGAGAUGAGGAACAGAAAAGGUAGUUGGAUAAUGAGAUGAGACUGAGCUCAUUUUCAAGAACACAGGCCUCUGCCUCCUAGAAGCGGCACGUGGGAAAGGAAGGAAGGAAACUAUUUGUGGGAAGACAUUUUACGUUCGGAAGAGAUUUGAAAAAUUCCACAGCAUCAUAAUUUAGAGGAGGCGACCUAAAACCUUUGUUAGCAAAGGAAGAGGUGAAUACCUCAGAGGACUCUUCAUCCUCUCUUUUGGCCAAGCCCUCCCAAGGGAAUUUCAGACUUUAGGGUCCUGGUUGAAUGGAAAUUUUGUCCUUGCUCGGAGUAUCUGGACUCAAUUUUCUCCUUUAACUAGUUAACUUUAACUUUUUCACAUGUGGAUUUAACUUAAAGAUAGACACUAACAGUUUAACUCUGUUUACCCCUUGUACCUUGCUGCUGUUUCAUCCGCUGUUUUAAUUCCAUCUUGCUUUGCAGCUUUAUAAAAUACAGUGUUUUUGGAGUUCCUGCUGUGUCUCAGUGGUAAUGAACCUGACGAGUAUCCAUGAGAAUGUGGAUUUAAUCCCUGGCCUUGAUCAGUGGGUUAAGGAUCUGGUGCUGCUGUGAGCUGUGGUGUAGGUCGCAGACAUGGCUUGGAUCUGGUUGUAGCUGUGGUGGUAAGCUGGCAGCUGCAGCUCAGAUUCAGGCUCUAUUCUGGGAACUUCCAUAUGCCAUGGGUACAGCCCUAAAAAAAACCGCAAAAACAUUUUUUUUUUUUUAAAAAAUAUGGUGUUUGGAGUUCCCAUUGUGGCUCAGUGUGUUAAGGACUUGACAUUGUCUCCAUGAGGAUGUGGGUUCAAUCCCUGGCCUUGCUCAGUGGAUUAAGGAUUUGGCAUUGCCCCAAGCGGAGGCGUGGGUCUCAGAUGCAGCUUUGACUUGAUCCCUAGCCUGGGAACUUGCAUAUGCUGAGGGUAGGGCUAUAAAAAGAAAAAAAAAUACAGAGUUUGACUUAUGUAGUCAAACCUACAUAUUUUUUUCUGCACAUAUUUUUAUCCUGCAUUUAAGAACUGCUUUUGAAAUCUCCUUUGUUUCUGAAGGAAGUUUUCUUUAGUGAUGGUCUAUUGGUAGGAUUAGUCUGUCAGUUUUUAUUUGUUUAAAACAAAAUCUUUACUUCAUUCUUGUUCUUGAAAGAUAAUUUCACUGAAUAUGCAAUUUUAAAUCAAUAGUUAUUUUCUCUCAGUGCACUGAAGGUAUUAUUCUACUUCCUUCUGGCUUUUAUUGCUGCUUUGGAUUUUUGGCCACACCUACAGCAUGUGGAAGUUCCUAGGCCAGCCACCAAACCCGAGCCACAGUGGUGACCCAUGCCGCUGCACUGACUAUGCUGGAUUCUUAACCCGCUGCACUAUAAGGGAACUCCUUAUUGUUUUUGAGAAGCCAAUCUCAAAAUCUAAUUUCCAAUCUAAUUAGCCUUCCUUCACACAUAAUCUGUCUUGUGUCUCUGGCUGUCUUUAAGAUUUCUCCUUGGAGUUCCUGCUGUGGCAAAGUGGCUUAAGAGUCUGACUGCAGCAGCGGCAUAGGUUCAGUCCCCAGCCCAGUACAGUGGGUUAAAGGAGCCAGUGUUGCCAAGUUUUGGUGUAAGUCACAGCUGCUGCUCAGAUUCAGUCCCCAGCCCAGAAACUUCCAUAUGUGUGGGCGCAUAAAUAAAUAAAUAAUUUUAAAUAAAGAUUUCUUCUUGUUUCUUGUUUCCUUUGGUUUAAUCAACAUGUGACUGUGGAUUUCUUUUUCUUUACUCACAGUGGGACCUGCUGUGCUUCCUAAAUGUGUAUAUUUUUCAUUAAUUAUGGAAAACUCUCCACUGUUAACAUAGCAGAUAUGUCUUCUCUUUAAACUCUCUUUUGAGAGUUCCAGUUGACUGUUUGUUAGACCUUUUCAUUCUAUUUUAGAUACUGCUUAACUCUAUCUUUUGUAUUUUUCCUCUUUUUAUCUUUCUGUGCUCUAUUCUGUGUAACUCCUUCAACUUUAUCUUCCGUUUCACUACUUUUCUCUUCGGUUGCCACUAAUCUCCUUUGAGUAUUACUUUUAAUAAAUAAUUUAAUAAGUUUUUUCU